Long non-coding RNA from Brassica rapa (field mustard), 2014 nucleotides. RefSeq lists it as uncharacterized. NCBI's taxonomy places the organism in Eukaryota, Viridiplantae, Streptophyta, Magnoliopsida, Brassicales, Brassicaceae. The record is from RefSeq and is a predicted model, not a curated record.
CCAGCCUAUAACAAACACACGGAUCAUGUGUCAAAAUAAUGCUAAUUGUGGCACACAAAAACAUUUACAUCAUGUCAUAAAGAAGUUCCGAGGUUAGUAAGUUAGUAUCAUGCCUCCAUUGAAGCAAGUUUCUUCUCGGCAUCUCUCUGAGCUUGUCGAGCACUGUCCACUUCACCCUGCCAUGCUUGAAUCUGCAUAAUUAGAGUAUUUCUAAGAUGUGAAACGACUACAGUAGAAGAAUUAAGGUAUGAUACAUGACUUAUCAGAGUUACCAAGGGAUCGUAAAUACUUUUUGCAUAUAAGUUCUUGGUUUUUACUUCUAACAAAAAAAUUAAAGUGUGCAAAGAGCUCACAAUUCACAAUUGAAGUUAACUUCCACAACGUAGAGCAUGAUAACCUAAAAAUACAUACAUGUGUCACUUGGUUUGGUUCAUCCGGAGAUUUCGUUUGCCCUCUGCGAGCACGAACUUCCAUAUCUUGCAACUCUUGAUCCAGAGAUGUACAUUCCACCUGCGUAUCAUUUGCCAAUUCUUCUAAUGAAGUUCAAAUAUAUGAUAAUGGGGGAACAAAAUGAGAGGCUAGAAACCUGAAGGGACGACAAUUUUCCUUCGUUCAGAGCAGCCUGGUUUUUCAAGGCAUCCAUUGUGCUGACAAGUGCUUCUUUCUACCUCUGAGUUCGUAGCUGCUAGUGCCUCAACCAUGCUUGACUCUACUUUCGACACUUUUCUUUUAGAAGAUGAUAAAUAUUUUUGUAACUAUCUAAUGCUAGCUUCAUAUGACUUGGUCAGCUCUUGCUAUAACAGUAAAAAAAAUGAAGAAAUAAAAUUAGGUGGCUUCAAGUAUCACUUUUUCUUAUAUGGGUACAAAAUACACUAAAGAAGCUGUUCAAAUUUACCUCUGCAGUGAGAGACUCUUCCAACUGUGCAUUUUCUUCCUUAAUCUUUUGCAGACAGUCCAGCACAAACCUAGAUGUAUAUGAGGACAAACAAAUGAAGCAUAUAUCUGAAAUUGGUAACGUCCAAACACUAGCAUGAAUUAAUUCUAUCGGACAGAUAAAAGAGUGUUUAAUCACCCAUUUGAUGCACAAAGGAUAUUUGAGCUUAACCUAGCUUCUUUUGACUGCCCAAAGAAAACCGUAGCUUUUAACAACCCCUGAGCCUAGAAUUAGUGAAGAAAUUGUUCAACAGGCUUUUGAUGACAACAUACAUGCAAGUAGCAGAUAUAGUAUGUGUUAUUUUUCAUCAUUUUCCCAGAGACUAACUAACCUCUUCAAGCUGAUGUUGAAUCUUCAUGGAAUUUGUAUUGGUGGAGGUAUUAUGUUCCUAUGUUCUUUAUCCAAAUUGACUGAGAUACCAACUUUCUCUUACGCCUCAUUUCCUGUGCUUUGAAUCACAGUUCCUUGGCCUAAAGGAGAAACAUGCACCACAGAUUCCAUUUAUCCAAAUCUCUUUUAAAAAAUAUUCUGAGCAUCAACCAGGUUUGCGGUUGCAACGGUUGCACCAAAGUGUCAUUUGGAACAGCUCCAUCAGCUUGCUUGUCAUUUGGAGUUGGCUCAGCAGCGCAACAGAACCAAUAGCUACCACAGCAGCAUCUUCACUUUUUGUGUCUGCCACAGACUGUGGAAGUGACAGAACACUCUGAACAUCUGUAUCAGUCGGUUGAAUCUCUAGAGGUAGGCACCUCCGACUGCGAAACUCCUGGUCCAGAUUGAUCACCCAAAAAAUCUCUAUUAUUAGAAGAUUCUUCCUUGACAACUUUACUUUCUGCCGAGCCUACAAAUACAGUCCAGAAAGGAAGAAGAUGAUGUUGAGUAUGGAUGGUACCAAACAAAGAGAACGACUUACAUAUAAGAGAAGCAAUGUAAAUACCUUUCCCUUUGAACUUUUAAUCUCUUUGCUUGGGACCCUUUCUUAUUAGAAGCUAAACAAAAGAGAAAACAUAAUAUAAGAGACAGAUACAUGACUAAAACCAAAAUUGUAAAGAUGUGAGCCAAUAAUGCCAAUGUUUCUAAAUA